GAAAUGGAACGGAUGAUCGCGGCAUUGCCGAGGAAAGUCCGGACUUCACAGGGCAGGGUGCCGGGUAACGCCCGGAGGGAGUGAUCCCUGAAAAGGGCCAUAGAAACGGAAACCGCCCGAAAGGGCAAGGAUGGAAAGGCGAGGUAAGAGCUCCCCGGCGAACGGGUAACCGUUCGGCCUGGUAACCUCCACCCGAAGCAAGACCAAGUCGAGAGGAUAUAGGUGGCCCGCCGAUCUCUCUGGUAGGUCGCUCGAGGGAUACGGUAACGUAUCUCCAAGAUAGAUGAUCAUCCACGACAGAAUCCGGCUUACAGUUCCAUUUCCUCA
This 327-nucleotide RNase P RNA is filed under the name Mesoaciditoga lauensis. RNAcentral's name for it is "RNase P RNA component class A". It matches the Rfam family "Bacterial RNase P class A". Rfam says of the family: Ribonuclease P (RNase P) is a ubiquitous endoribonuclease, found in archaea, bacteria and eukarya as well as chloroplasts and mitochondria. Its best characterised activity is the generation of mature 5'-ends of tRNAs by cleaving the 5'-leader elements of precursor-tRNAs. The record is from RNAcentral. Lineage: Bacteria; Thermotogati; Thermotogota; Thermotogae; Mesoaciditogales; Mesoaciditogaceae.